UGUAAGCGUAUACCAAAGUUGUUGCAGUUAAAACGCUCGUAGUCGGAAUUUGGCAGUUCCGGAUGUGUGCACGUCGUGUGCGCACUUCGCGGGGAUUGCUUUUGUGGUCUUGCGUAGGAUGAGGCACUUUUAUUAGUGAACGUCCUCACGCAACCACUUUUUACUGUGCGAAAAUCAGAGUGCUCAAAGCAGGCAUUUGCCGUGAAUGUAUUAGCAUGGAAUAAUAGAAUAGGACUUGGUUCUAUUUUGUUGGUUUGUUGGGACUGAGUAAUGAUUAAGAGGGACAGUUGGGGGCAUUUGUAUUUCGGUGCUAGAGGUGAAAUUCUUAGAUUACCGAAAGACAAACUGCUGCGAAAGCGUCUGCCAAGGAUGUUUUCAUUGA
Molecule: ribosomal RNA, 382 nt
Filed under: uncultured eukaryote
Lineage: Eukaryota
Description: partial 18S ribosomal RNA
Rfam family: Eukaryotic small subunit ribosomal RNA
Source: RNAcentral